This 3352-nucleotide long non-coding RNA is filed under the name Daucus carota (carrot). RNAcentral describes it as "long non-coding RNA (DCAR_LNC002028)". Lineage: Eukaryota; Viridiplantae; Streptophyta; Magnoliopsida; Apiales; Apiaceae. The record is from RNAcentral.
GCUAAUAGUAGUAGUCAGGAUUAGUACUUAGCACAGUAGUACAUUUUAGUAAGGGUAGUUGUGUCAUUUCAGUACUAGAAGUUAGUUAUAGUUGAGGUUUGCCUAUAAAUACUUGAUAAGCUUUGUAUUUCCAGUCAUGUUGAAUAUGAAUAUGAAAAUGGAACUUGUUCCACAAUUCUGUCGCUCUUCUCUCUAGGGUUUCUCUCUCUCUAGAAAUCUAUCUUGUUCUUCAAAUUUCUCUUCUCAUCUAACUCUGAUCUAUCUGAACUCUAUUUCUCACCUCCAUUUCUGCCUAUUUCUUCUCUAAAUCUCUAUUAUCAAGCUAUUAUCUUACUUAUAAACUCAGAAAACACCAAAUAUAGUAACAAAGCUAGGUCAGAACUCAUUAGUUCCUGACAAAUUGGUAUCAGAGCUGUACAAAUCAAUCAACCACUGCUUCAAUCAUGUUGUGCACAUCAAUCCUAGCCGAGCGAGACUAGAAGUGUAGUAAUCGCAGUAGCAAGUCAGAAACUUUGUUCUCAACAGUUCAGGUUCUUUGUUUUUAUGUCACUCUCUUAGAUCUGUGCAUUUCCGUGUUAGUUUGUGUUGAUUCACUGUCGUUUAGAAGUGAUUAGUAGUUACUUGUACUUGUUGUCGAAGAUAAUCACAAAAAGAAGGAAGUUACAUCUGAGUUGGUAAAUUGGAGAUAGUACUACUCUGUUAUGUCGAAUUGCCGUUACUGUGACUUGAACUGGACUGAAGAGGUGAUUCAUAUCUGUGUUGUUGGCACUAAGAACAUAAAUAGAGGAGAAUAUUAGUCUUGGUGUGAUUUUCAGAAGUCACUCUUGUGUGUAGAGAAUCUAUUUGUGUAAGUGUGCUUAUAAGAGAAAUUGUGUUUGAUAGUUUUGCUGUUGGUGUGUUGAUCUGCAACACUAGUGGAGAUUUGUGUAGUAGUGGAGGUAAUGCUGGUGAAUGGAAUAAGAAGUAAAGGUGUAGCAGUGAAGAAAAGUAAUCACUGGAGGAGUGCACAUCAGGUGUUUGAUUUCUGGUCUCAACUAGUUCAAAGUUGUUUGUUGAAGUUUGAUAGUUUCCGGCUCUCAUUUAGAUAAAUUUAGCAGUUCCGAUUAAUUUCAUUGAGAAAAAUCACAAACAUACUAGAUCUAUCAAGUUUUCUUACAUUCCAGAACUGUAGCACUCUGUUUCUUGUAGUUGAUCAGAGUUGAACUGGUUGUGAGUUGAUAUUCUUGAAACUAGUGGAAAUUCUAGAACUGAGUGGCGAAUUGAAUAGUGGCCUCUGUGUGUUUGUGUUGUACUGGAUUUGGUGGAGUAAUUUGCUGUGUAGUGAAGUACGAGAAGUUUUAGUUGUCCUGUAAACAACUUGUCUGAUCAAGUGACUGUGAGGUGAUCAGUUUGAUUGUGGUUGUACUAAGAAGUUACUACUACAAACAAGUCGUUAGCUAAUUGGAGUAAUGGAAAUAGGAAGUGACAGGGCUUUUAAUGAACUCUUGCAAGAAGUUCAACAGCAAUUUCUCUGGUACAGAGAACAAUCCAGUAGGAAGUUUCAGGAAUUGGAGGAUUUAGUUGCUUUGGCUGCUCAAAAGAUGGAGUUAUUGAAGAAGAGGGAGGCUCAGAAGAGUAGAAGACCUAGAUUGCCAAAUUCUUUCGCAUCCAAACAGGAACCAUUGGAUUCUCAUUUCACUCAAUUUGAGGAGUAUACUGAGCAAUUAAGGAAACCAUACCACUGUUUAUGAUAACUCGGGAAGAAGAGAUGUCUUCUCCAGAAAAUUCAGAACCAAGUUCAGAGGAAAAGUCUGAAAUAAUUUCUUCAAUCUCAGAAUAUCAGAUUGGGGAUUCAGUGCAUCAUCUUGAGUUAAGACCUCCCAAGUUCGAAGGUGCCAGAGUCUUCGAGUCAUCAUAUGAUUUUGAGCACCUUGUGGCUGUUGAGCGUAUCUAUAAAUGAUGACCCUAUCUAUGAUGAAGAUCCGAUGGAGGGGGAGGCGUGCUGGCCUGAGCAUGAACUCAUUUCAGGAAUCUUACGAGGAGAUGACUUACACUCAUCUUGUUUAUCACAGUCUGAUUUUUGCACAAGCGAAAGAUUAGAGGUGAGAAACAAACCAAAUGAGGUAUUUGAAGAUGGUGACAUACCAAAGCUUGGUUAUUACAAAGCUGAAGAGAGACAAGAUGAUGCUGAAGAAGUGACUUCAGUUACUUUUACCAAUCUAAUGGACUUGAUGGAGGAUGCCCCAUGUAGUGUUAGUCCAACUACUGGAAAUUUUCAUGGCAAGGGUGUGCUUAUUUUUGACCCGGGUGGUUUUGUUCAAAACAUCAAUUUAACAGGUAUUCUUGAAGGUCAAAGAUAUUUUGGGAGUUCAUGAGGAGAUUAAUAGAGUUGUUGGCGAAAUUAAUCAACAGUUUGACCAAUCUGUGAGGGCUGCUCUGAUAGUGACACCCAUGUACUUUGUGAUGAGAUAUGGUUUUCUUGAAAUGGACAGGGUAAUGAGAUUGAAUUACCAUAAGGCCUCAAGGAAAAGCCAAAGACUGACAGUAUACAUAUUUGAUCCAGGAGGAAAUUGAAGCCGUCUCCAAGGUGUUUUGACUGGUAUUCCAAAGCUUCAACAAUUGUCACUGUAUUUGUGUAUUUGUCAAGGGAAAUGACCUAUGCACCUAAGGAAAAAGAAAGUCCAGUGGCUCAAUCAUUAUCCAACAUACUUGAAGACACAAAGUGGAGAAGUGCAAGAUUAACCAUGAGGACAUGGUUUAUUUUCAAGGAGGGAGAUAUGUCAGGAAUGGCCUAUCUUAGUUGCAAUUAGUUGCAGUACUUGCUAAUAGUAGUAGUCAGGAUUAGUACUUAGCACAGUAGUACAUUUUAGUAAGGGUAGUUGUGUCAUUUCAGUACUAGAAGUUAGUUAUAGUUGAGGUUUGCCUAUAAAUACUUGAUAAGCUUUGUAUUUCCAGUUAUGUUGAAUAUGAAUAUGAAAAUGGAACUUGUUCCACAAUUCUCUCUCUCUAGAAAUCUAUCUUGUUCUUCAAGUUUCUCUUCUCAUCUAACUCUGAUCUAUCUGAACUCUGUUUCUCACCUCCAUUUCUGCCUAUUUCUUCUCUAAAUCUCUAUUAUCAAGCUAUUAUCUUACUUAUAAACUCAGAAAACACCAAAUAUAGUAACAAAGCUAGGUCAGAACUCAUUAGUUCCUGACAUAUAAUCUGUUGGAUAAAAUGAAGCUAUCUUCACGCGCCCUGAUAUAGUAAUUGGAUCUACCACUGCCAGUAUAAUCGUAAUCUACUACUUCCAAAAUCUCAGUAUCAAUUAUUCGUUAACAUACACUAGUAGACAUGAAUUUAAAAUUUAAAUUGAUGCAAUAGAUAAUUGUAUUAC